GACGAACGCUGGCGGCGUGCCUAAUACAUGCAAGUAGAACGCUGAAGCGAGGAGCUUGCUCUUCUUGGCUGAGUUGCGAACGGGUGAGUAACGCGUAGGUAACCUGCCUUGUAGCGGGGGAUAACUAUUGGAAACGAUAGCUAAUACCGCAUAACAAUGGAUGACACAUGUCAUUUAUUUGAAAGGGGCAAUUGCUCCACUACAAGAUGGACCUGCGUUGUAUUAGCUAGUAGGUGAGGUAAUGGCUCACCUAGGCGACGAUACAUAGCCGACCUGAGAGGGUGAUCUGCCACACUGGGACUGAGACACGGCCCAGACUCCUACGGGAGGCAGCAGUAGGGAAUCUUCGGCAAUGGGGGCAAGCCUGACCGAGCAACGCCGCGUGAGUGAAGAAGGUUUUCGGAUCGUAAAGCUCUGUUGUAAGUCAAGAACGGGUGUGAGAGUGGAAAGUUCACACUGUGACGGUAGCUGACCAGAAAGGGACGGCUAACUACGUG
This 497-nucleotide ribosomal RNA is filed under the name uncultured bacterium. RNAcentral's name for it is "partial 16S ribosomal RNA". It matches the Rfam family "Bacterial small subunit ribosomal RNA", at positions 28 to 507 of the family's 1533-position model. The record is from RNAcentral.